GUGAAAAUAGUUUAAAAAAAAUAAUGGUUUGUGGUUCCAUUGAUUCACUAUGUGAUUUUCACC
This 63-nucleotide transfer RNA is filed under the name Platynereis sp. 2 PA-2020. RNAcentral's name for it is "tRNA-His". Lineage: Eukaryota; Metazoa; Annelida; Polychaeta; Phyllodocida; Nereididae. The record is from RNAcentral.